ACGCUCGACACCUACGGGAAGCAGCAGUGGGGAAUAUUGCACAAUGGGGGGAAACCCUGAUGCAGCGACGCCGCGUGAGCGAAGAAGUAUUCGGUAUGUAAGCUCUAUCAGCAGGGAAGAAACUGACGGUACCUGACUAAGAAGUCACCGGCUAAAUACGUGCCAGCAGCCGGCGGUAAUCUGAGCGGGCUGGCAAGGC
RNAcentral lists this ribosomal RNA (199 nucleotides) under uncultured bacterium. RNAcentral describes it as "partial 16S ribosomal RNA". It matches the Rfam family "Bacterial small subunit ribosomal RNA", at positions 326 to 539 of the family's 1533-position model. The record is from RNAcentral.